AUUCCAAGCUUAGAGUUUGAUCAUGGCUCAGAUUGAACGCUGGCGGCAUGCCUUACACAUGCAAGUCGAACGGUAACAGGUCUUCGGAUGCUGACGAGUGGCGAACGGGUGAGUAAUACAUCGGAACGUGCCCGAUCGUGGGGGAUAACGCAGCGAAAGCUGUGCUAAUACCGCAUACGAUCUACGGAUGAAAGCGGGGGAUCGCAAGACCUCGCGCGGACGGAGCGGCCGAUGGCAGAUUAGGUAGUUGGUGGGAUAAAAGCUUACCAAGCCGACGAUCUGUAGCUGGUCUGAGAGGACGACCAGCCACACUGGGACUGAGACACGGCCCAGACUCCUACGGGAGGCAGCAGUGGGGAAUUUUGGACAAUGGGCGAAAGCCUGAUCCAGCCAUGCCGCGUGCAGGAUGAAGGCCUUCGGGUUGUAAACUGCUUUUGUACGGAACGAAAAAGUCCUCUCUAAUACAGGGGGCGAAUGACGGUACCGUAAGAAUAAGCACCGGCUAACUACGUGCCAGCAGCCGCGGUAAUACGUAGGGUGCGAGCGUUAAUCGGAAUUACUGGGCGUAAAGCGUGCGCAGGCGGUUAUAUAAGACAGAUGUGAAAUCCCCGGGCUCAACCUGGGAACUGCAUUAGUGACUGUAUAGCUAGAGUGCGGCAGAGGGGGAUGGAAUUCCGCGUGUAGCAGUGAAAUGCGUAGAUAUGCGGAGGAACACCGAUGGCGAAGGCAAUCCCCUGGGCCUGCACUGACGCUCAUGCACGAAAGCGUGGGGAGCAAACAGGAUUAGAUACCCUGGUAGUCCACGCCCUAAACGAUGUCAACUGGUUGUUGGGUCUUCACUGACUCAGUAACGAAGCUAACGCGUGAAGUUGACCGCCUGGGGAGUACGGCCGCAAGGUUAAAACUCAAAGGAAUUGACGGGGACCCGCACAAGCGGUGGAUGAUGUGGUUUAAUUCGAUGCAACGCGAAAAACCUUACCCACCUUUGACAUGUACGGAAUCCUUUAGAGAUAGAGGAGUGCUCGAAAGAGAGCCGUAACACAGGUGCUGCAUGGCUGUCGUCAGCUCGUGUCGUGAGAUGUUGGGUUAAGUCCCGCAACGAGCGCAACCCUUGCCAUUAGUUGCUACGAAAGGGCACUCUAAUGGGACUGCCGGUGACAAACCGGAGGAAGGUGGGGAUGACGUCAAGUCCUCAUGGCCCUUAUAGGUGGGGCUACACACGUCAUACAAUGGCUGGUACAAAGGGUUGCCAACCCGCGAGGGGGAGCUAAUCCCAUAAAGCCAGUCGUAGUCCGGAUCGUAGUCUGCAACUCGACUACGUGAAGUCGGAAUCGCUAGUAAUCGUGGAUCAGAAUGUCACGGUGAAUACGUUCCCGGGUCUUGUACACACCGCCCGUCACACCAUGGGAGCGGGUUCUGCCAGAAGUAGUUAGCCUAACCGCAAGGAGGGCGAUUACCACGGCAGGGUUCGUGACUGGGGUGAAGUCGUAACAAGGUAGCCGUAUCGGAAGGUGCGGAUGGAUCACCUCCUUAGAUCUGGAUCCCCUCUAGAGUCGAC
Molecule: ribosomal RNA, 1558 nt
Filed under: uncultured Burkholderiales bacterium
Lineage: Bacteria; Pseudomonadati; Pseudomonadota; Betaproteobacteria; Burkholderiales
Description: bacterial SSU rRNA
Rfam family: Bacterial small subunit ribosomal RNA
Source: RNAcentral